This 995-nucleotide ribosomal RNA is filed under the name uncultured bacterium. Its description in RNAcentral is "bacterial SSU rRNA". It matches the Rfam family "Bacterial small subunit ribosomal RNA", at positions 356 to 1376 of the family's 1533-position model. The record is from RNAcentral.
GGGGAAUAUUGCACAAUGGGGGAAACCCUGAUGCAGCGACGCCGCGUGGAGGAAGAAGGUCUUCGGAUUGUAAACUCCUGUUGUUGGGGAAGAUAAUGACGGUACCCAACAAGGAAGUGACGGCUAACUACGUGCCAGCAGCCGCGGUAAAACGUAGGUCACAAGCGUUGUCCGGAAUUACUGGGUGUAAAGGGAGCGCAGGCGGGAAGACAAGUUGGAAGUGAAAUCUAUGGGCUCAACCCAUAAACUGCUUUCAAAACUGUUUUUCUUGAGUAGUGCAGAGGUAGGCGGAAUUCCCGGUGUAGCGGUGGAAUGCGUAGAUAUCGGGAGGAACACCAGUGGCGAAGGCGGCCUACUGGGCACCAACUGACGCUGAGGCUCGAAAGUGUGGGUAGCAAACAGGAUUAGAUACCCUGGUAGUCCACACCGUAAACGAUGAUUACUAGGUGUUGGAGGAUUGACCCCUUCAGUGCCGCAGUUAACACAAUAGGUAAUCCACCUGGGGAGUACGACCGCAAGGUUGAAACUCAAAGGAAUUGACGGGGGCCCGCACAAGCAGUGGAGUAUGUGGUUUAAUUCGACGCAACGCGAAGAACCUUACCAAGUCUUGACAUCCCUUGACAGACAUAGAAAUAUGUAAUCUCUUCGGAGCAAGGAGACAGGUGGUGCAUGGUUGUCGUCAGCUCGUGUCGUGAGAUGUUGGGUUAAGUCCCGCAACGAGCGCAACCCUUAUGGUCAGUUACUACGCAAGAGGACUCUGGCCAGACUGCCGUUGACAAAACGGAGGAAGGUGGGGAUGACGUCAAAUCAUCAUGCCCUUUAUGACUUGGGCUACACACGUACUACAAUGGCGUUAAACAAAGAGAAGCAAGACCGCGAGGUGGAGCAAAACUCAGAAACAACGUCCCAGUUCGGACUGCAGGCUGCAACUCGCCUGCACGAAGUCGGAAUUGCUAGUAAUCGUGGAUCAGCAUGCCACGGUGAAUACGUUCCCG